CCCUUAGAUGUUCUGGGCUGCACGCGCGCUACACUGAUGCACUCAACGAGUUUACGACCUUGCCCGAUAGGGUUGGGUAAUCUUUUUAAAAUGCAUCGUGAUGGGGAUAGAUUAUUGCAAUUAUUAAUCUUCAACGAGGAAUUCCUAGUAAGCGCGAGUCAUCAGCUCGCGUUGAUUACGUCCCUGCCCUUUGUACACACCGCCCGUCGCUCCUACCGAUUGAAUGUGUUGGUGAGGAGCUCGGAUUGGCAGCAGUUGGUGGUUCGCCACCGGCUAUUGCUGAGAAGUCCUCCAAACCGCCCCAUUUAGAGGAAGGAGAAGUCGUAACA
Molecule: ribosomal RNA, 329 nt
Filed under: uncultured eukaryote
Lineage: Eukaryota
Description: partial 18S ribosomal RNA
Rfam family: Eukaryotic small subunit ribosomal RNA
Source: RNAcentral